RNAcentral lists this ribosomal RNA (466 nucleotides) under uncultured bacterium. Its description in RNAcentral is "bacterial SSU rRNA". It matches the Rfam family "Bacterial small subunit ribosomal RNA", at positions 331 to 794 of the family's 1533-position model. The record is from RNAcentral.
CCAGACUCCUACGGGAGGCAGCAGUGAGGAAUAUUGGUCAAUGGGCGCGAGCCUGAACCAGCCAAGUCGCGUGAGGGAUGACGGCCCUACGGGUUGUAAACCUCUUUUGCCGGGGAGCAACGGGCGCCACGUGUGGCGCCACUGAGAGUACCCGGAGAAAAAGCAUCGGCUAACUCCGUGCCAGCAGCCGCGGUAAUACGGAGGAUGCGAGCGUUAUCCGGAUUUAUUGGGUUUAAAGGGUGCGUAGGCGGGACCUUAAGUCAGCGGUAAAAUUGCGGUGCUCAACGCCGUAGAGCCGUUGAAACUGGGGUUCUUGAGUGAGCGAGAAGUAUGCGGAAUGCGUGGUGUAGCGGUGAAAUGCAUAGAUAUCACGCAGAACCCCGAUUGCGAAGGCAGCAUACCGGCGCUCAACUGACGCUGAGGCACGAAAGUGCGGGUAUCGAACAGGAUUAGAUACCCCGGUAAA